RNAcentral lists this transfer RNA (61 nucleotides) under Friesea antarctica. RNAcentral's name for it is "tRNA-Asp". Lineage: Eukaryota; Metazoa; Arthropoda; Collembola; Poduromorpha; Neanuridae. The record is from RNAcentral.
GAAGAAUUAAUUUAAAUAAAAUAUAGAGCUGUCAAAUCUAAUAUGCCCUCAGCAUUCUUUU